This 366-nucleotide ribosomal RNA is filed under the name 2,4-D-degrading bacterium 019. RNAcentral's name for it is "bacterial SSU rRNA". It matches the Rfam family "Bacterial small subunit ribosomal RNA", at positions 132 to 489 of the family's 1533-position model. The record is from RNAcentral. Lineage: Bacteria; Pseudomonadati; Pseudomonadota; Betaproteobacteria; Burkholderiales.
UGUAGUGGGGGAUAGCCCGGCGAAAGCCGGGAUUAAUACCGCAUAACGUUNUGCGGAGGAAAGCGGGGGAUCNUUNGGGACCUCGCGCUACAGGGGCGGCCGAUGGCAGAUUAGCUAGUUGGUGGGGUAAAGGCCUACCAAGGCGACGAUCUGUAGCUGGUCUGAGAGGACGACCAGCCACACUGGGACUGAGACACGGCCCAGACUCCUACGGGAGGCAGCAGUGGGGAAUUUUGGACAAUGGGCGCAAGCCUGAUCCAGCAAUGCCGCGUGUGUGAAGAAGGCCUUCGGGUUGUAAAGCACUUUUGUCCGGAAAGAAAACCUCGUGGUUAAUACCCGUGGGGGAUGACGGUACCGGNAGAAUAA